UUUCGUUGUCAGUUGGUAUUGACUGGUACAGCAGCCGUGAAGAUUUGAAUGAACGGUCUUUUUUCUCUCUUUUGUAGGCUCAUGGAAACCAGUUGUAUAUGAGCCUACCUGCUCCUGAGAUCUGAGGCAGACAGCAAAGAUCUUCCUAGCUGGGGAACUGCAGGUAGAAGGAAAUCAUAGACAAAAUGUCCCCCAUGAUUCACAUUCCAGUGUGGCUUUGAACCAUGACCAGGUGGAGGUUG
Podarcis muralis (Common wall lizard) is the source of this 242-nucleotide non-coding RNA. The record is from RefSeq and is a predicted model, not a curated record. NCBI's taxonomy places the organism in Eukaryota, Metazoa, Chordata, Lepidosauria, Squamata, Lacertidae.